ACCCACGCAGACCCCACGCCCCCACUCCCCACCGUUCCAAUCCCUUCUCUCCCGCACCCGCACCCGCUCGCCAAACCCUUAGCCGCCGCCCCCGCCCCCGGCCCCGCACCAUGGCCAUCGACGGCGAGGAGCCCGAAUCACCACGCCUCCCUGUCCCCCGCUACGGCCACAGCGGGCCUUCCGGAUCCGCGCCAUCGACGAGCUGGAUCCGCGCCUGCUCGCGCCGCCGCCGUCUCCCCGAUCCAAAUCGACGCCACCACCCUCUCAUCCUCAUGCGCCGAGCGCCGCCACCACCCUCUUGUUGCCGCCACCUCCUCCUUCCUCCAGCACCACCUCUCCAACCCCAGCAACGAGUUCGUGCUCAUCUCCGACCCCGCCACCGGCCUCCAUUGCUUUCACUCGAAGGAGGUCGUCGGAACCACGACGACCGGCCGGCCCGUGUGUGAGGAGACGAGUGCAACACAUGAUCCCACCGGAACAAGGCCAGAUCGCCAGCGCCUCCCCGCUCGAUCCCCUGGCCCCUCCCCUCCGGACACGCCAGCGCCCGGUCGCCGGCCCCGGCCAUGGAUCCCUACAAGGACCGGCCGACGAGCGAGGCAAACUCUGGCUACUGGACCACCAACUCCGGUGCGCCCGUCUGGAACAACAACAACGCCCUCACCGUCGGACAGUGAGGUCGGUCUCCAUUGUCUAUACCAUGAUUGGGGACGUCUGCCUGUACAUUGUUGGCAAUGAUGAAUAUGGUGAGCUUGCUCGGUCAGAAGGGCAGAGCGAUUGAGCAGAUAGGGAGGCAGCCGUGCUGCGAUAAGGUGGGGCUGAAGAAGGGGCCGUGGACAGAGGAGGAGGACCAGAAGCUCGUCGUCUUCCUCCUCACCCUGUUGAUCCUGCUAUGUGUAUGGAUGUGUUUAUGUGGAUUUGGUCUAAUCUGUCUCCUCCUGUUGAUCUACUGGUCCAUGCUCUAGUUCUAAUUCAUGCCUAUGAACUGGUUACUAUGGAUUUGGUGCUGCUCUAGAUUCUUUCUGCACUUAUAGUUAUGCUAUUGCACUGUAUACAUGUGUAGUCAGUAAUUAGUGCUACUGCUUGAACUCAAAAUUUCUUUUACAAAGAAUAAAAAUGAUGAGCAUUUCUCCAGCCAAUGUCUGCAGUAGUUGCUGUUGUGUAGUCAUCGGCUGGACCUAUGCAUUUCAUCAAAAAUUGCAAUGAUGUUUGUUGCCUAAGAAACUAGCGAAUUAUAGAGGCCUGAGAUUCUUCUUUUGUUGUACUUGUACAUGUACCAGUGUUCUUGGCACUGUGACCUGAAGCAAUUAGUUGGCCAAUUGGAGUCUUGGCAUGCUCUGUUGCUCUCCUAGUUGUUAACCUAUGUGCAGUAGUACGUAGGAAUAGAGGUAUGCUAAAUCUAGCAUUUUCAAGUAUGUUGUGUUGCUGUGACUGCCCUCAGUUUAAUAAGUCUGGCAUAAGAUGUAUUUAUUUAGACGAAGUAUCCGCUUUCCCUGACAUAAUAUGUUCAUGUUCACGACAGGCUACCUGCAAAAUUGCUGGACGCAACAUCAAUGUAGCUCUGAUCCAGAACCUGGUUCUUGGAUGCAACACGCAUUGUCCUGGACAGGUAUAGCCCCGGUCAUACCAUAAUAUGUUAGUGUUCAGUCAUGUAUACAUCUCCAUGUUGCAAGCCUACCGUACUUGAUAGGAUCAGUACUUAUUAACUACUCAUAUGUGCUUGUAGAGAAGAAUACAAUUAUUAUGUAACUAGUCCAGAUUUUUAACAUUUGAUGUGCUUCCAAGGGACACUCGUCUCUACUCUUCUAUAGAAUCCACACUUUGUUCUGGAAGCAAGUCAGUUGUACCAUGCUGUUACAUCACAACAAGGUGUCAUUUUAUGUACUGUUGUUGAUGCUCCCUAAAGUCUAGAUGUAGAUGUACUGCUGUUGUUGAUGCUCUAGCUGUAGCCUGUACUACUGAUGUUUUGCUAAUGUAGUGUUAGUUUCGCUGCUGCUAGCUGUUGGCUGCUACUAGUUAGUACUUAGUAGUUACUGCUGGCAGUGCUAGUAGCUGCUGCUGCUUCUAUUGCUUGUGCAAUUGUGCUAGUAGCCAGUAGAUGUUCAUUGCAUGACCUGCACUAGUAGCUAGUAGAUGUGCUCGUACACGUACGCUAGUAUUGUUGGUGUGUUGAAUGUCUUAGUAGAACAUCAUCAGGUUGAUGUGUUGUAGUCAAGUUUUGGAAGUUUUCCCAUGCCAUGCUUAGUGUUUACUGAACUGAAGUAUUUGGGCAUUUAUGUGCACUGUUCAAGAACUCGGCCGAGUUACCAUUUAAAUGCCCAUUUAAUCGCUACUCAGUGCCUAACUGAGGCGAAUAGCACAUACUCGGUUCAUUAAAUGGUCAAGCCGAUUAACUGGUAUUUAAUCGGUUGUCAGACGAUUAACUGGUUGUCAAACCGAUUAAUCGGUGAUGGGUCAAGUAACUGAAGCGGCAUCCAUAAAAAAGGGGGUAACCGAAGCGGCAAUCCAAGCGACCAGGCCAUUAUUUGGCCCCGUAACCUCCGGCGCUGCAUCCUCCCUCUCCCACAUCGCAGCUCUCCUUCCUCUCCUUCCUCUCCUGACUCCUCAUGAGUCACGACCAUGGCUUCUCCUCGCCGACCCUAGCCACCGCCGGCGAUCGCCCUGCUCCCGUUGUCGGCCCUAGCCUCCUUCUCUGACCCCCAUCCCCUCCCAUCCUCUUCUCCCUGUCUCUCCUCCAGCCCCUACCUGCAGGCUGCAGCAGCGGUGAGCCGGCGACAUAGGACAGGCAGCAGCAGCAACCUAGGCCAGGCAGCAGUGCCGGUGACCUAGGCCAAGCAGCAGCGCCGUCAACCCCUCGAACCAGGUCCCCAUGGCUUCACCAACCAACAAGGUACAUGUCUGCUAAGAUUCAUCUCAAGGUUUUUAAUCUCUGCUAUGAUCUCCAUCUAGUUUGGCAACAAAAUUUGCAGGGGUCUAUGGUAGGUUCCACCGCUGCAAGUUCUCAAACUCUCAAGACAAAUUCAGAUAACAUGGGUUGGGAGUUCGCAACCUUGAUUUAUCCUCUAGAUUUAUCGCGAGUGAAGUGCAAGUUGUGUGGAAAAGAGAUGUUUGGAGGGAUCAAUAGGAUGAAGCAACAUAUUGCUCAGAUUAGGGGGCAAGUCACACCCUGCACGGUGGCUAACGCGGAUCAGCAAAAGAGGUGUAGGGAAGCUUGUGAGGCAUCAUGACCAAACCGUCCAGAUCAGUAUCUAACGUUGUUGAGGUGGCUGCUGCUGUGACCGAAGAUCAGAAGAAGCCUGGAGAUGUGCACAAUAGUUUUAGUUGAUGUUGCCACCAUGUUUUGGUGCAUGUGUAUUUCUUUUUGAUUGUUUGCACCCUUGAUGGAUCGUGCAAACGUGUAUGUGCUGUUGUGAGUUUCAUUGAGUGAUUUCUGGAUUUGAUCAUUUAAUUGAGAGAAUUAUUGAUUGUUAGCUGUUGAAAUGUGUAAAAGAAAUAUGUGAAUGAAAAGGCUGAAUGUUCUAUUGGAUCGAAUAA
This is an RNA transcript of Triticum aestivum (bread wheat), 3531 nucleotides long. RefSeq lists it as uncharacterized. The record is from RefSeq and is a predicted model, not a curated record. The transcript has 5 exons. Lineage: Eukaryota; Viridiplantae; Streptophyta; Magnoliopsida; Poales; Poaceae.